CUUCGCCACUGGUGGUCUUCCCGGGAUUAUAGGAUUUCACCCCUACCCCGAGAAUACCGUCGGCCUCUCUCGUCCCCUAGCCGAGCAGUAUCCCCCGCAAUCCAACGAUUAAUUCGUUGGGUUUAACAGGGGACUAACUUGGCCAGCUACGGAUGCUUUAGGCCCAAUAAACAUCCACACCA
RNAcentral lists this ribosomal RNA (182 nucleotides) under Candidatus Bathyarchaeota archaeon. RNAcentral describes it as "partial 16S ribosomal RNA". Lineage: Archaea; Thermoproteati; Candidatus Bathyarchaeota. The record is from RNAcentral.